RNAcentral lists this ribosomal RNA (621 nucleotides) under Merodon mariae. RNAcentral's name for it is "eukaryotic LSU rRNA". The stretch from base 402 to 621 matches the Rfam family "Eukaryotic large subunit ribosomal RNA", at positions 665 to 824 of the family's 3401-position model. The record is from RNAcentral. Lineage: Eukaryota; Metazoa; Arthropoda; Insecta; Diptera; Syrphidae.
AGUACGUGAAACUGCUUAGAGGUUAAGCCCGAUGAACCUGAAUAUCCAUUAUGGAAAGUUCAACCAUUAAUAUUAUAAUAUUUAUUUAUAAAUAUUAUAAAAAUAGUGUGCAAUUUUUCCAUAUAAGGACAUUGUAAUCUGUUAAUGUAAUAAAUAUUUAUCAUAAGAUUCAAUAAAUAAAAGUUUAUUCAAAUUAGUUAUUUUCCGAUUUCUAACAUAGAAUAAAUUUAAUUGAAUUUGAUAAAUCAUUGACAGAUUUAUUUAUAUAUAGUGCUUAAAUUCUUAAUUGAAUUUUACAAUAAUUUAUAAAUGUAUUUUCAUUUAUUUAUUUAUUGUAUGCACUUAUAUGAUUAACAAUGCUAUAGAUUCAGGAUACCUUCGGGACCCGUCUUGAAACACGGACCAAGGAGUCUAACAUAUGUGCAAGUCAUUGGGUAUUUUUAAUAAAACCCAAAGGCAUAAUUAACUUAACUGUUUUUAAUAUGGGAUUAAUUUAUAUUUUAUUAUGAAAUAUUAAUUCAAUCCCGGGGCGUUCUAUAUAGUUAUGUAUAAUGAAUAUUUAUAUUAUUUAUGCCUCUAACUAGAGCGUACCUUGAGCAUAUAUGCUGUGACCCGAAAGUG